RNAcentral lists this ribosomal RNA (484 nucleotides) under uncultured bacterium. RNAcentral's name for it is "partial 16S ribosomal RNA". It matches the Rfam family "Bacterial small subunit ribosomal RNA", at positions 29 to 523 of the family's 1533-position model. The record is from RNAcentral.
AGUGAACGCUGGCGGCGUGCUUAACACAUGCAAGUCGAACGAGAACGGGUUAUAGCUUGCUAUAAUUGUCAGCUAAGUGGCGCACGGGUGAGUAAUGUAUAGGUAAUAUGCCUCUUACUAAGGGAUAACAAAUGGAAACGUUUGCUAAUACCUUAUACUCCUUAUUAACAGAAGUUAAUAAGGGAAAGAUUUAUUGGUAAGAGAUUAGCCUGUAUUGUAUCAGUUAGUUGGUGGGGUAAUGGCUUACCAAGACUAUGACACAUAACUGGUUUGAGAGGAUGAUCAGUCACACUGGAACUGAGACGCGGUCCAGACUCCUACGGGAGGCAGCAGUGGGGAAUAUUGCACAAUGGACGAAAGUCUGAUGCAGCAACGCCGCGUGGAGGAUGACACAUUUCGGUGCGUAAACUCCUUUUAUAUGAGAAGAUAAUGACGGUAUUAUAUGAAUAAGCACCGGCUAACUCCGUACCAGCCGCCGCGGUAA